RNAcentral lists this ribosomal RNA (402 nucleotides) under uncultured bacterium. RNAcentral's name for it is "partial 16S ribosomal RNA". It matches the Rfam family "Bacterial small subunit ribosomal RNA", at positions 362 to 758 of the family's 1533-position model. The record is from RNAcentral.
UUUUGGACAAUGGGCGCAAGCCUGAUCCAGCCAUUCCGCGUGAGUGGAGAAGGCCUUCGGGUUGUAAAGCUCUUUCGCAAGGCAACCAAGAUUACUCUCUAAUAUAGAGUGAUUAUGACGGUACCUUGAUAAGAAGCACCGGCUAACUCCGUGCCAGCAGCCGCGGUAAUACGGAGGGAGCUAGCGUUGUUCGGAAUUACUGGGCGUAAAGCGCGCGUAGGCGGUUUUUUAAGUCAGAGGUGAAAGCCCAGUGCUCAACACUGGAACUGCCUUUGAAACUGGAAAACUUGAAUCUUGGAGAGGUCAGUGGAAUUCCGAGUGUAGAGGUGAAAUUCGUAGAUAUUCGGAAGAACCCCAGUGGCGAAGGCGACGACUGACAAGUAUUGACGCUGAGGUGCGAAA